UUCGUACAGAGAUGUGAGAAGAGACGCGAAAAAAGGAAAAGAAAUAAAUUAUCCCAUAUAUUUAGAUUUACAAAUGCAAUUAGGAGCAAAAAAAAUCAAGGGCGGAGAAAUAUAGAGGCUAAGGCGAGAUUACCGAGCAUGCGACUUACGCACAAAGGAACAAGUCAACCAAUACAUUCUGUGUGAAAAAGAAAAAUACUAGGACGAACUCAAUGUUAAGUAGUCACCAAAGCACAUCACCAUCUCCCGCUACAGCAAGAAGGCAUACGUCUUGUCCCUUUCUGUUCCCUACUGACGUUCAUUCAAAGAAUGGAUCAACUCGUGCACCGACUCGCACAAACAUCCACCUUGCCGAAAAUGGCAGUUGCCGCUCUGAGAGCUUGCUGCCGCCGCACUAAACGGGCGCAAAGCAAGAGGAAUCACUUGAGAGUCUGUCGAUUGCCGCGUAACUUUAACAAAUGCUUGCCUCCCCUUCUUUUUUGUUUUCUUUCGGUCUUUGCGCAGCUGCUCGCGAUGAGCUGUUGUUGGCGCAGCCGUUCUCGCAAGGGACCCCAAGAGAGAAAGUUUGGCUUUUUUUUUGCUAUAGAAUAAUAUGGGCCCGUGCCACACGUGCUCGGCGGCCUAUGAGAGUGCGGCGUAUAUUUUUCGAGCCAUCUGGUCACACUGAUGAGGUCUGCCGGGGGGGCCGAGAUUCUCGACGACUCUCUCGCCGCCCGCGUGGAAAGUCCGCUUUGAACACCAGUCUGUUUGCCACGGAAUGUGAAGCAGCCACUCAUGUCGGGGACAGCAUUCCACGGGCCUGUACCUAUAUUCCGGAAAACUGGGUCACGCACUUCCACCGGGUACCACAAGUUGGAACGUUACGUGGAACGACACCAAUGCUGUACAGGUUCAUUACUGGUGCGAUGGCGCUACAGAGAGUAAAUGAAGACACAAAAAUAUAUACUGAAGACAAGCGCGGAGCGUCUACUUCUUCGCCGUGUCUACCUUCAUCCGGUAUCGUUUGCUCAAGGCCUUCUCAUAUUACUAGCCCAUACAAAACUGCACAUCCACUAAUGUAAAAUAGGCAGUGAAGGAGUGGCUUGCGGAUGAGGAAGAGGAGAACCAAGUGGCUCUCCUGGAGCCAAGUCCAGAGAGCCGCACGCUCCAGGGAAGCCUUGGACUAAGCGGCCCACCACGCUUGCCUAGUUUUCUUUCUGGAACAUUAAGCUUCCUUCCUUCCUUCCUUCCUUCCUUCCUUCCUUCCUUCCUUCCGUGGCGCCAUCGUGCCAGAAACGAGCCUCUUCAAGUCAACUAUCUGCUCAGGACGUGGUAGCA
This is a non-coding RNA of Dermacentor albipictus, 1317 nucleotides long. The record is from RefSeq and is a predicted model, not a curated record. NCBI's taxonomy places the organism in Eukaryota, Metazoa, Arthropoda, Arachnida, Ixodida, Ixodidae.